Molecule: long non-coding RNA, 7480 nt
Filed under: Gallus gallus (chicken)
Lineage: Eukaryota; Metazoa; Chordata; Aves; Galliformes; Phasianidae
Source: RNAcentral
AGCUACAGUGAGGGUGACUGCCUGGGCCAUUUUCCGUUUGGUACAAAGGAAGGCAUGGCACUCCAGGUUCUCAUUGAGCUGGUUCUGGGCAAUGUAGGCAAACACUUUAUCGUGGAUCUUGUCUGCCGUGCAGUAGGAUAUCCUGUAUAUGGAGACGUUCUCAAUCAGCUCGUUAGUUCCACUGUCAUUUAGCACAAUCCCUCUGGGCGAGACUUUCAGCGUAACUUUCUGCAGUUUCUUUCCACUUGCUUUUGCGGUGGCAACGAUCCUUUUGACAGCAGCUGCAGAGAGCUCCUCACCCUUCGGCUGCUCCACCAGCGUCAUGCCCAAGUACUUGAGGCUGAAGAGCACCCCUUCCAGCAGCGUCUCUCGGGUAUCGGUCCAGUUCUCCGGGAGCUUCUGGUGGCGGCCGCCGGCCCAGGGCGGUUUGGUGACGCUCGGGCUGCGCAGCAGAGCGCGUCCCGCCGAGCGCAGCGCGUCCAUUCCCGCGCGGGACUUCGGCAACUUCGCCGCGCCGCCGCCGCUCCGCGCGUCCGGGGGCGGGGCCUGAGGGAGAGGGACAGCACAGCGCGACGGCGUGACGUUGCGUUACGUAACGUGACGCAACGCGACGUAACGACGCAAACGGGACGUGGCCGCCCGCGGCCGUGAGGCGGUUGGAGGCGGAGGCGGCUCCGGGCCGUUCCGUCGGGCGCGGCGCUCAUCGGCGGCUCAGCCUCUUCCGCUGGGAUUUAUGGGAGCGGAUUCUCGGCCCUUUUUCCCCCCUUCCCACAGAGCCGCUGCAGACGGGAGCUUUUCUUUCAGUACUGAACCACGGCUGCAUACGUGGCUGCGCUCCGACGGUGACGGGCGCCGGCCCUGAGGUGAGGAGGUCUCACUGUGCCCGUACUGCUUCUUCCCACACACGUUGGCUGCAAAAGGUUCUGCGCGGGAUCUGCCAACGGCUGUGACCCCACAGGAGAAGGGAGGCGGCCAAAGCCAAACGCUGAAUGCGAACGGUGCCGAAGGAGGCAGCAAAACGGGGAGCAGCACAGCGAUGAGCGAUGCCAUUCCACGUUCUGCACGACGGUGGGAAACCUCCGGCAGUUCUGAGUAACGCUCCCACGGCGAGGAUUCCAAAGGACGAUCCAAAAAUGCGACUGCCAGCGACGCACAGACGUGGCUGAAGCUCCGAGCUCAGCCCGGAAGGAUUUAUCUGUGCUGGAAAGGAUGAAACUUCAAUACUUGACUGCCUUUUGCAUUCUGCCUUUUGCAUUUAUUAACGAGGGGCACCAAUUAGCAGGAAACCUCAGCAGAAGCCCUUUCAGAAGCUCUUUGUCUUUCCAGAGUCCGCUGCACGUUUGCAAAACCACAGCGCUGGGUUUAUUCUGCUCAUCCCAACGCAGUUUUGUUUCCCAUCCCUCCAACCCCCACCCCCAAAAUAACCUGCAGCCCUUUGGGAGUCAGCAGUGCAAACGUCUGUCCUACCAACCUACAUUGCACGUUUUAACUGAAACCUUUGUGCAAUUAAAAAAGCUCCUUAAAAACCUCCUUGGCACAACGGCUGGGGAAAUAAAAGAGUUGAACCUUUAAGUUUUCACACGUGAGGUGACAGGAAAAAAAAGGAUAAUAAUAAUAAUAAAAAAAAACAGAACCGCAGCUUUUAUUAGCCAGCUUUACAGUCUCUUGUAUACAGUACAUUGCACAGCUCCGCCUUCACAACAACGCUUCCUGGGUUAAUAUUGUGCCUUCCGUGAUGCUGUAUCAUCAAGGCAAGUUACAGAACACUGCUGAGUUUAUAUCGAAAUAAACAGAAGAUGUAACCUUGGUUUAUAAUGAACAUCCAAAUUACCAUGUACAAUUUGCAGCAGACUCUGUAAUGAGCUUGAUAUAAAGCUAGAUGACAGCGAAGGGGGGAAAAAUAGUUUAAACUAUCAAGUUUCCUCUUGAAAUGUCUUUUCCCAAGGCACUGUGAACAAGACUGUCGGCAGUUCUCAAUGACCAGAGACACCAAUGGGAGCAUAAAUAUUUCACACAACAACCACCGUCGCAUCCUCACCCAUUUCCUCCUCCUUUCCCUUAAGCAACGCCCUGACUUUGUUUGGUCCUUGGAGGGGGGACUCAAAUGAUCAUCCGUGAUAACCAUAUGUUUGUAUUGAACACAUCUAUCAAGCACAGCUUUGUCGGAUUGUUUAACCCUUUCGCUGUCAAAACAAAAGGUUUUUCCCUCACUGUUUCUCAACGAAUCUGAUUGGCAAAUUCAACUCGAUUGUUAAAAAAAAAAACAACAGGGAGAAGAAAGGGUUCAAAAUCAAGCAAAGCCCUGUAUUUUCAAGAGGAAACCAUGCACAAGUACAUAAGAAGGCAAAAUUGGCUACUUGAAAACCAAGAAUUGUUUUUAAUGCAUUGGCCAAGGAAAAUAAAUUGCAAAGUUCUGUGAGGUCUUCUAAAAAUUUACAAGAAAAACGGAUGGGCAGUUCUAGUCGAUCCAGAUGUUCUUUUUUUUUUUUUUUUUUCCUGUUUUUAAUGACAACAAAUAACAGUCUCACACAAUACAAUUUCAUCUUGGACUGCAAGAGACGCUCCUGUGUGAAGCCUUCGGCACGGCGACGUCACCGGGCAAAACCAGAGUUGGCAUUCAUUUCUUCAUGGGCUGAUAAACAGAGGCAUUGGGAUCAAGUCCGGAAGGGCUGGUCUCCACAAAUUUGGAAGAGUAAUGUGGGGAAACGGGGCUCAGCGUGCUGGUGGCUGCGGUGUACGUUAUGCUGGGCAUGACUGCCAUCACUUCGGCAAUCUUCUGUUUUAGCUCCUUGAUUUCCUGAUCUUUCUGAAUGAUUUGCCCUGAAAUGGCAAAGAGCGUCGCUGAGAAACAGCUGCACCUUCUCACCCUCCAGUGCUCGUUCUGUGAUCGGCUGCUGAAGCCAAACACCCUGAAGGGAUUCGGCUUUCUGAUAUCCUAACAGCAAAAGCAGACCCGGUGGAGCUGCCCCUCUGUGUCCGUGAGUUAUGUUUAAGGUACCACAUCACACCAUCACAUCUUCUAUUCGAUUUUGCACUGUUUGGAUCCACAACUGCACAGUGCCAAAAUGUGGUUUUUAUUCUGCCCUGUCCCGUUUGCAUUUCACAACCACCUCACGGGGGGUCAUUAAGUGCACUAUUUCCCUUAUUUUCAAAGCUGUCCGCACCAUUUUUCUACCCCCCCCCCCACUGUGCACACUCACCAACUCAUUACAGCAUUUGAUGUAAUUACAUAAAGAGCACGGAAAAAAAAGGUCCUCAUUCUAAGAAAACCUUCCUGCAAACGAACUCCUUCGAGGAAAUUCAAGAGCUACUCAACCAAGAGCUCACUUCCUUCUGCUCCAGGGCCUGCCCAGCUAACAGACAGCCCAGCAGGGUUAAAUGCUGCCUCCGUGCUCCCUCUGGUGGCACCCAAACACCGACACCUCCCUGCUUACCCACAGGGGGACUUUGGGGUUUUUUCCCCCCACAUUUUGGUUUAUUUGCUUCAGGAGAUUCGGGGAUGGGGAUAACAGACAGCACUACUAUCUUAUCUUAUCUUCUAGCUCUUUCAAAGAAGUUCUCCAGCUUUGAGGAAACCAUUUAUAACAAUGGAGAAAAUCCCAGGACGGGUUGUGUUGGGGGGGGACCCCGAGAUUCCCCAGCUCCAACCAUCCCCACCACUGGGUGUUACCUUGGGCAAUCUCAAGCUGCCGUUUCGCAUCUCCUAAUGCAGAGAAGAGAUCCAGCUUGAUCCGCGUCUCUGCGCUCAGGCUGUUCUCUAAGUGCUGUGUUUUAUCCUGCAUGGCUGACAGUGCUGACAUCAACACCUCCGUAUCCUUCUCAUUUUCCUUGUACUUCCGCAGUUCCUGAACUUUCAUUUCUAGCUCUCGUAUCUGAUCUUCUUUCAGCUUGAUGUCAAUGGUCAGCUUCUUGCACUCUGUCUCCAGCUCUCGGAUACGAUUCCGUAAAGUUUCGGUACAUUCUCCUCUUGUAGCAGCAGCAAACGCAACAGCACGUGCAGCGGUCGCUUCUUCCAACUUCUUUCUCUUUUUUUCUUCCAUUAAUUGCUUUUCUACAAAGGCUCUUGCCUCUUGCUCUGCCUUUAGUUUCUUCUCCAGCUGGCUGAUCAUUUGCUUGUCUUUUUGUUUCAUUUGUACAGCAUUGUGCAAUCUGGAAGGUAACAGGUAUGGGAUUUAGCACAGGUUUUCACUUACUACAACUAAACCACUGUCACUAUUCCCAAGCGAGUUUUGCUUUCUUACAAGCAAGCACGUUAUGCUUGGUAAAGUCUCAACACAUUAUUUCCCCCUCCAGCAAACUCCAGCCAUCAGCAAGCAACCCACACAGCUUUGCAGAGCACAUACUUGUUCUGGAGCAGUUCGUUUUCCUGCCGGAGCUGUCCGAUCUCAGACCGAAUUCCCCGCUCUGUGUUAGUCAAAGAACUGAUCUGGCUACGCAGCUCCUGCUCAAUCUGCCUGCUUGCUUGCAGGUCAGCCUUUAACUUUUUAAUGUCUUGUUCCAACCUAAGACAGACAAUUUUAAAAGACAGUGUUCAAUUUAAAAGGCUGUACUUUCCCACUACCCAAAGGUUCCAACGCAUCAGACUGGAAACUGAUGCCUCUCUUUGCUGUACCAUCUUUUAGGUAACUCUACAUACAGCUAUAUGUACAGCUGUGCACACACUUCAUAACCCUCACAGGAAGUCUGUUCCCCUCCAAGCACUGCAGCCCUGUGGAACACCUGAUGGAAUCACCUUCCCUCCAAGCAGAAAUGAAACUGAUAAGGCUGAGAAUCCCCCAGGGCUGGCAGGUGACCACACGAGCACAUUGUUGCUUUUCUCACCUAAUUCAGGCUGUUAGCGACGCACUGCACUCCUGAAUUCCUGCUAAACAUGGCUGGGUUUUUCCCUUGAAGUACAAGAUGUGAACAUGUUAUGUUAUCCAUAAUUCAGGGCUUGGUGAAUUUAGUUUCAAUUCCUCCUGAACUGAGAGAAUCCAGCAAGUCACACAACCUUAUUCAUUCAUAUAUCUUCAUCUUAAAUGGGUUAAAUAAAGACACCAGUUUGUAAUGAGAGGCCCCCAGCUCACCUCUGUGUUCCCCACACGUUUGAAAUAAGAUUGUUCUCUCUUAAAAUAAUGAAUUAAAAAUACAUCCUAUCUGUAUGCAUGGGUAGAAGAAAAAUCGUAGUGGGCAAACAGUGAUGGCACCAAGCAAAUGAAUGCUUCAUGUUGAGGACAAGAAGUUAUUUCAACACCCUGAGCUCCGUCGUGACAAUGGGACAGCAGGAAAGUGUCCUCCCUCUAUGAGUUAGGAAGCCAAUAACCCAUCACAACGUAAGGACCAAAUGUUUCCUGCCUGGUUUCUCUCAUUCAGAUAUCAGAUCUACCAAAAUUAGUGGUACUUCAUUAAAAAAAAACGUUCAUUUCCAUUAGAAAUAAUAAAGAAGUGCAGUUCUUGCAUUCCCUGGUGUGAGCUGUGUGCUCAUCUUCAGCCCCCAAAUGUUCUGCUGUAAAAAAGCAAGUCCAAGCUCUUCUGUGCAUACAGAGGCAACGCCAAUUUCUUUCAGCUUCUCAUUACUAGAAACACAGAUAUGCUUCUUCUUUUCUUAAGCACAGCUGCAUAUCAUUACUGACCUCAGUAACGAAGUAAAUGACUGAGCAGUCCCCUCCAAGAUGGAUCGUUUCCCUUAUUGCCUUGGGAAGGCAACGACAGCUCAGUCUGCUGCUUCCAGCUGUCCAUAACCCACUGAUGAUGUGUCCCUUCGGUUACACCUCCCCAUAAUCACCUGCCUACAAAAACUGAAGUUCUAUGUGACCCAAAGUGCUUUGCUAAGAGACCUGUUCUUUGUUUUGCUCUCUUGUGGCCCCAUCUGUUGGUGUGAGCCCUGCUGCCAAUGUAACAGCAUUGACAAUGUGACUGCAUUAACAGCGCUGCAGUUCUGCUGUGGGUGAUGUGCCAUUGCUAGCAGCUCCUCAGGGCACAAUCCAGGUGAAUGGACAUCAAGAUGUGACCUCUCCCAUCUUCGCAGCUCUGUUAAAGUGCUGUGGCCUGCAUUUAAACUGGUGUGUUAGCAGUGAUGCACACAGCAAGCUUGAGUUAUCGCUUCAAGGAGUCGUAGGGCAGCUGCCACUUUGCAUCCGUAGUUGUGAAUUAAAAACAAAAGCCAAACAUUCCAGGGGGAAAAAGAGAUCCCACCACCAAACGAGAAACCAAAACCUGCCCAGGUAACACCGAACCCCUCUGAAUUCCCUGCAGAUGUAAAGGUCACCCAGGAAUGUUUGCUAAGAACACACCGCUGAGCUCUGCAAUGAGCAUUCUCCACGUUUCCCUCAUUUCCCUCCAGUGACUGUCACAGCCAUCCACAAAGCCCCACAACACCCCUGUGAGGUCGGUGAGGACCUCGUCCUGAGGGACACAGCAAGCUGUUUGCUGAAGACUGUGUGGCCAAUGGGAGGCAAAAGUCAGGAAGAGAAGCCCAGCAGUCUGCCUCCUGCCUGCCUUACCCCAUUACAAGCCAGUUCUGUCCUCUUCACGAGACCAUGAAUUACAUUUCCCUUAGAAGACCAACUACAAAAAUACAGCCCAAACAUACCCAAUGCCUGGCACCACGAGAGGCCGUUAACACUGCAUUGCAAUGAAACUCACCUGACCAACGCAUCUGGUUUGCUGAGCUGGUUGUUGGGAAUACAGUUCUCCAUUAAGUCCUUAUGUGCGCUCGGGCUCUUGCUUGGACACUUCUGUUUCUUCUCAUUUUUAGUGGAUGCUGAAGGGAUGCUCCCAUUGGUCGCACUGUGACUGCGGGGGGAGGAGUUCACAACUCCACUGACAUUUUUGUAGUUUUUGGAUGAGGCAGUGCAUGAGUCCUCUUUUAAGAGGUUUUCUGUACUUCCUACGAGAUCGUUAUUUAAUCUUUUACUAUUGAUAUGGUUUUCCAUAUAUUCAAUUUCUUGUAUUUUAGAGUCUACAGGUUGCAAAAUGUUGUUAUUUAUCCCAAGGUUGUGUUUCUUAGCAUCCUUGUCCUUUUCUUUCCCUUUUUCUCUAUAUUCUAGCUCUGGCAACGUUGCAGAUAGUUUUUUAUUUGCUGGAAUGCCUCCAUUGUGCUGCAGAAGUAUCGAGGAAUCCAUCUCAGAUAAUCCUUUGGCUGCAACAGCAAAAUAAAGAAAAGAAAAUGAGUUUGUUCAAAUCAAUCAAUAUUACGACACGAAGAAAAAUGAUGGAGUCUACAACCAUCUCUUCUGCAGAAGGCAAUCAUUAAGAGUCCGCUUAGCAAAAAGAAAAGAAAGCCAAACCCAUGAAGAAAAAUAGGGGUGGCCAGCAGGGAGAGGGAGGCGAUCGUCCCCUUCUACUCGGCUCUUGUGAGGCCCCAUCUGCAGCACUGUGCCCAGGUCUGGGGCCCCCAACACAAAGACGUGGAGCUCUUGGAGAGGGUCCAAAGGAGGGCCACUAAGAUGAUCCGAGGGCUGGAGCACCUCUCCUGUGAGGAAAGGUUGAGGGAACCGGG